Molecule: ribosomal RNA, 253 nt
Filed under: uncultured bacterium
Lineage: Bacteria
Description: partial 16S ribosomal RNA
Rfam family: Bacterial small subunit ribosomal RNA
Source: RNAcentral
UACGUAGGGUGCAAGCGUUGUCCGGAAUUAUUGGGCGUAAAGAGCUCGUAGGCGGUUUGUCGCGUCUGCUGUGAAAACUCGGGGCUUAACCCCGGGCCUGCAGUGGGUACGGGCAGACUAGAGUGCGGUAGGGGAGACUGGAAUUCCUGGUGUAGCGGUGAAAUGCGCAGAUAUUAGGAGGAACACCGGUGGCGAAGGCGGGUCUCUGGGCCGAUACUGACGCUGAGGUGCGAAAGCGUGGGGAGCAAACAGG